Molecule: ribosomal RNA, 254 nt
Filed under: uncultured bacterium
Lineage: Bacteria
Description: partial 16S ribosomal RNA
Rfam family: Bacterial small subunit ribosomal RNA
Source: RNAcentral
UACGUAGGGUGCAAGCGUUAAUCGGAAUUACUGGGCGUAAAGCGUGCGCAGGCGGUGAUGUAAGACAGUUGUGAAAUCCCCGGGCUCAACCUGGGAACUGCAUCUGUGACUGCAUUGCUGGAGUGCGGCAGAGGGGGAUGGAAUUCCGCGUGUAGCAGUGAAAUGCGUAGAUAUGCGGAGGAACACCGAUGGCGAAGGCAAUCCCCGUGGGCCUGCACUGACGCUCAUGCACGAAAGCGUGGGGAGCAAACAGG